UACGUAGGUGACCAGCGUUGUCCGGAUUUACUGGGCGUAAAGAGCGCGCAGGCGGUCGUUCAAGUCGAGUGUGAAAGCCCCCGGCUUAACUGGGGAGGGUCAUUCGAUACUGCUCGGCUCGAAGACAGGAGAGGGAAGCGGAAUUCCCGGUGUAGUGGUGAAAUGCGUAGAUAUCGGGAGGAACACCAGUGGCGAAGGCGGCUUUCUGGCCUGUUCUUGACGCUGAGGCGCGAAAGCUAGGGGAGCAAACGGG
Molecule: ribosomal RNA, 253 nt
Filed under: uncultured bacterium
Lineage: Bacteria
Description: partial 16S ribosomal RNA
Rfam family: Bacterial small subunit ribosomal RNA
Source: RNAcentral